AGGCGUACGGCAGAGAAACGGAGAUGAAAUGGGAGAGAAGUGAGUCGAAAUGAUGAUGGCUGAUUGAUCAUAUCGCUAGUCAGAGUAACGACACACAAGAACGACGUAAAGGAGAAAGGAAGAACUGGCGGUGGCUGAAACAGAAGAAGAACUGUCGAGGCGAUUCGGCUGCGAAAGAGGGAAGAUUUGGACGAGGAAAAGAGAGAGAAAUCGAGUUGAGUAGUGAGGAAGAGUACGAUAUUAAAAUUGGGGAGAAAUAGAGGGCAUAACGGAGACUGAAAAAGGAGAGGGGAAGAAAGAUUAAAAAAAAAAAAAGGUGAACAGAGAAGGAUCGGACUCGGUCGGUGGUUUUGAGAAAAUGAGAAGGAAAAGUGAAAAGGAAGAAGAAGAAAAAAGGAGGAAGGGAUGUGAUGGUUUGAAGCAAGAGAGGAAGAAUUUAGAGACCAGAAGAAAAGAAAAACAGGGAUGAAACGAGAAGGCAGUGUCUUCAAAAGGUUGUGUAUGAAUAGAUAAUGAUUGAUGGCAUACAGUUCUUUGAAUUCCCAUUUGAAGCAACUGGAGAAGAAUUCUCUUGCUGGAAUGAUGGCAAUUGCAUCUCUAAAUGUUAGCAUCACUCAAAUUGGAUUUGGAUUAAAGCCUACUUGAGUCUGAUGAUUUGGCAUGAAUCCCAAGUUGUGUAUGAAUAGAUAAUGAUUGAUGGCAUACAGUUCUUUGAAUUUCCAUUUGAAGCAACUGGAGAAGAAUUCUUUUACUGGAAUGAUGGCAAUUGCAUCUCUAAAUGUUAGCAUUACUCAAAUUGGAUUUGGAUUAAAGCCUACUUGAGUCUGAUGAUUUGGCAUGAAUCCCAAGUUGUGUAUGAAUAGAUAAUGAUUGAUGGCAUACAGUUCUUUGAAUUUCCAUUUGAAGCAACUGGAGAAGAAUUCUUUUACUUGGAAUGAUGGCAAUUGCAUCUCUAAAUGUUAGUAUUACUCAAAUUGAAUUUGGAUUAAAGCCUACUUGAGUCUGAUGAUUUGGCAGAAAUUCCAGGUUGUGUAUGAAUAGAUAAUGAUUGAUGGCAUGGUAUAGAGUAUGCUGUUAGAUUG
Long non-coding RNA from Carica papaya (papaya), 1082 nucleotides. RefSeq lists it as uncharacterized. The record is from RefSeq and is a predicted model, not a curated record. Lineage: Eukaryota; Viridiplantae; Streptophyta; Magnoliopsida; Brassicales; Caricaceae.